This is a non-coding RNA of Picea glauca (white spruce), 1415 nucleotides long. The record is from Rfam. Lineage: Eukaryota; Viridiplantae; Streptophyta; Pinopsida; Pinales; Pinaceae.
AGGGAGCCUGAGAAAUGACUACCACAUCCAAGGCAGAAAGCAUGUGCGCAAAUUACCCAAUCCUGACAUGGGGAGGUAGUGACAAUAAAUAACAAUACUGGGCUCAUCGAGUUUGGUAAUUGGAAUGAGUAUAAUAUAAAUCUCUUAACGAGGAUCCAUUGGAGGGAAAUUAUGGUGCUAACAGCCAUGGUAAUUCCAGCUCCAAUAGCAUAUAUUUAAGUUGUUGCAGUUAAAAAUUUCGUAGUUGGAUCUUGGGUCGUAAAGGUUGGUCUGCCUAUUCAGUGUGCACCUGCCCUUUCGUCCCUUUUGUCGGCGGCAUGCUCCUGAACUUAAUUGGCUGGGUCGCAAUUCCGUCAUUGUUACUUUGAAAAAAAUAGAGUGCUCAAAGAAAGCUUAUGCUUUGAAUACAUUAGCAUGGAAUAAAGCGAUAGGAGUCUGGUCCUACUGUGUUAGACUUCGGGACUAGAGUAAUGAUUAAUAAGGACUGUUGGGGGCAUUCGUAUUUCAUUGUCAGAGGUGAAAUUCUUGGAUUUAUGAAAGAUGAACCACUACGAAAUCAUUUUCCAAGGAUGUAUUCAUUAAUCAAGAACGAAAGUUGGGGGCUCAAAGAUGAUCAUAUACCAUCCUAGUCUCAACCAUAAACGAUGCCAACUAGGGAUCAACGGAUAUUGCUCUAAGGAAUCUGCCAACACCUUCUGAGAAAUCAGAGUGUUUGGGUUCUGGGGGGAGUAUGGUCACAAGGAUGAAACUUAAAGGAAUUGUCGGAAGGGCACCACUAGGAGUGGAUCCUGCGGCUUAAUUUGACUCAACAUGGGAAAACUUACCAGGUCCAGACAUAGUAAGGAUUGAUAGAUUGAGAGCUCUUUCUUGAUUCUAUGGGUGGUGGUGCAUGGUUUUUCUUAGUUGGUGGAGCGAUUUGUCUGGUUAAUUUCGAUAAUGAACGAGACCUCAGCCUGCUAACUAGCUACGUGGAGGUUCCCCUUUGUGACCAACUUCUUAGAGGGACUAUGGUCGUUUAGGUCAUGGAAGUUUGAGGCAAUGAUAGGUUUUUGAUGCCCUUAGAUGUUUUGAGACACACACGCACUACACUGAUGUAGUCAACGAGUUUUUCUCCCUGGUUCAAGAGGAUCAUGAAACUAUUGCAUCGUGAUGGGGAUAAACCAUUGAAAUUAGUGGUCUUCAAUGAGGAAUUCCUAGUAAGCGUGUUUCAUCAUCUCAUGUUGACUAUGUCCAUGCCCUUUGUACACACUACUCGUCGCUCCUACUGAUUGAAUGAUCUGGUGAAGUGUUCGUAUCGUGUCAACGAGGGUGGUUCACCACCGAUGAUGUCAUGAGAAGUUCACUAAACCUUAUCAUUUAGAGGAAGGAUAAGUCGUAACAAGGUUACUAUAGGUGAACCUGUCAAAUAUUUAUGU